This 525-nucleotide ribosomal RNA is filed under the name uncultured bacterium. Its description in RNAcentral is "bacterial SSU rRNA". It matches the Rfam family "Bacterial small subunit ribosomal RNA", at positions 791 to 1322 of the family's 1533-position model. The record is from RNAcentral.
UAGUCCACGCCGUAAACGAUGAUUACUCGCUGUAGGCGAUACACAGUCUGUGGCUAAGCGAAAGUUUUAAGUAAUCCACCUGGGGAGUACGAUCGCAAGAUUGAAACUCAAAGGAAUUGACGGGGGCCCGCACAAGCGGAGGAACAUGUGGUUUAAUUCGAUGAUACGCGAGGAACCUUACCUGGACUUAAAUGUACGUUGCAUAGAUUGGAGACAGUCUUUUCUUCGGACUACGUACAAGGUGCUGCAUGGUUGUCGUCAGCUCGUGCCGUGAGGUGUCGGGUUAAGUCCCAUAACGAGCGCAACCCCUAUCCUUAGUUGCUACCAUUAAGUUGGGCACUCUGGGGAGACUGCCGGUGUUAAACCGGAGGAAGGCGGGGAUGACGUCAAGUCCUCAUGGCCCUUACGACCAGGGCUACACACGUACUACAAUGGCAAAGACAAAGGGUCGCAAUACCGCGAGGUGGAGCUAAUCCCAAAAACAUUAGUCUCAGUCCGGAUUGGGGUCUGCAACUCGACUCCAUG